Molecule: ribosomal RNA, 642 nt
Filed under: uncultured bacterium
Lineage: Bacteria
Description: bacterial SSU rRNA
Rfam family: Bacterial small subunit ribosomal RNA
Source: RNAcentral
CAAAGGGAUUACCGGUGGCGGAUGGGCAUGCGGCGCAUUAGCUAGUCGGCGGGGUAACGGCCCACCGAGGCGACGAUGCGUAGGGGUUCUGAGAGGAAGGUCCCCCACACUGGUACUGAGACACGGACCAGACUCCUACGGGAGGCAGCAGUGAGGAAUAUUGGUCAAUGGGCGCGAGCCUGAACCAGCCAAGUCGCGUGAGGGAUGACGGUCCUACGGAUUGUAAACCUCUUUUGCCGGGGAGCAAGCGUGCGUUCGUGAACGCGCGUCGAGAGUACCCGGAGAAAAAGCAUCGGCUAACUCCGUGCCAGCAGCCGCGGUAAUACGGAGGAUGCGAGCGUUAUCCGGAUUUAUUGGGUUUAAAGGGUGCGUAGGCGGGAUGCCAAGUCAGCGGUAAAAAUGCGGUGCUCAACGCCGUCGAGCCGUUGAAACUGGCGUUCUUGAGUGGGCGAGAAGUAUGCGGAAUGCGUGGUGUAGCGGUGAAAUGCAUAGAUAUCACGCAGAACUCCGAUUGCGAAGGCAGCAUACCGGCGCCCUACUGACGCUGAGGCACGAAAGCGUGGGUAUCGAACAGGAUUAGAUACCCUGGUAGUCCACGCAGUAAACGAUGAAUGCUAACUGUCCGGCUCGAAUGAGCGCUGG